ACACUCCUUGGCAGCAAAUUCCACUGUCGAACAGCUCUUACUGUCAGGAAGUUCUUCCUAAUGUCCAUAUUGAGCUUUUUCAGAGCUUUCGCUUCCAUCGGUGACAGCCACCUUGGGGUUUUAUUUUCCAAUAAAUCCUUAUAUCUUAUCCAAACAUUAAACAAUGCUUUCCUGACAAUAUGGUUUUUAAAUGCUUUAUGUGCUUUGACCUUAUCGUACCACAGAUAUGCAUGCCAUCCAAAUACAUUGUUAAAACCUUCUAAAUCCAAAAUGUCAGUGUUUUCAAGAAGCAGCCAUUCUUUCAACCAGCAAAAAGCUGCUGAUUCAUAAUAAAGUUUGAGGUCUGGCAGGGCAAAUCCACCUCUUUCCUUUGCAUCUGUUAGUAUUUUGAAUUUUAUUCUGGGCUUCUUGCCCUGCCAGACAAAUCUAGAAAUAUCUCUCUGCCACCUCUUGAAACAAUCCAUUUUGGCCACAAUUUGCAAUGUUUGAAACAAAAACAACAUUCUAGGCAAUACAUUCAUUUUAACCGCAGCAAUAUGGCCCAACAGUGAAAGCUUCAAAUUUGACCAAAUUUCUAAAUCUUUUUUCACUUCAGCCCAACAUUUUUCAUAGUUAUCUUUAAAUAAAUUCCCAUUUUUUGCUGUCAAGUUGAUCCCCAAGUAUUUAACUUUCUUAACCACUGUUAAACCUGUCUCAUUCUGAAACCUCUCUCUCUCAAUCGCUGUUAAAUUUUUCUCUAAAACCUUAGUUUUUACCUUAUUCAAUUUAAAUCCUGCAACUUGACCAAAUUCUUGAAUCAAUUCUAAAACCCUUUUGGUACUAGAUUCUGGCUCCUGUAACGUCAGUACUAAGUCAUCUGCAAAUGCUCUCAAUUUGUACUGUUUGGCUCCGACCUGUAUACCUUUAACCAACUGGUCCCUUCUAAUCAUGUUCAGCAAAACCUCCAGGACCGAAAUAAAAAGCAGUGGGGAAAUUGGGCAACCUUGUCGUGUCCCUUUUUCUAUCUUAAAUUCUUCCGUCACCACAUUAUUUACAAUUAAUUUAGCCUUUUGUUCUGAAUAAAUUGCACUUAUACCGUUUUCAAAGCCUUGGCCUACCCCCAUACCCUGUAGGUUCUUCUUCAUAAAACUCCAAGAAAUGUUGUCAAAAGCUUUCUCCGCGUCCACAAAUAUCAAAACUGCUUUAGUAUUUAUGUUCACUUCUAGUUUUUCCAAAAUGUCAAUUAUAUUCCUCAUAUUGUCAGACAAGUGUCUACCCGGGAGAAAGCCCGCUUGAUCUUUAUGAAUCUCUUCCAUCAACACUUUUUUCAGUCUCUUAGCCAAAAUGUCUGCAAAAAUUUUGUAAUCCACAUUAAGUAAUGAUAUGGGACGGUAGUUCUUAAGCUGCGUCUUUUCAGUCUCUGUUUUCGGUACAAGUGUAAUAUAAGCUUCUUUCCACGACUCUGGUGCCCUUUCCCCCUCCAUUAUUUCAUUACAGACCUCUUUCAAGGGUUGUACUAGCCAUUCUUUCAAGGAUCUGUAAUAUCUAGAAGUCAGUCCAUCCGGUCCUGGAGAUUUACCCAAUUGCAUAUUUUGAAUGGCACCUUCUAUCUCCUGUUCAGUUAUUUUAUAGUUCAACAUUAAUUUAUUUUCUUGAGAGAUUUUUUGUAAUCCGUUUGUUUUCAAAAAUCGAUCUACAUCAGUUUCUUUCAGUGGCCCUUGUGUAUAUAAUUGUUUAAAGUACCUCUGGAAACAAUUUCUAAUCUCAGCUGGGUUCUGUAUAUUCCUUACUUCCACUUCUAAAUUUGUAACUGUAUUUAAUUUUUGUCUUUUUUUCAUUUGCCAAGCCAACAAUUUCCCACAUUUAUUAGCCGACUCGAAUGUCUUUUGUCUCAUUUGUUUAAUUUUCCAUUCUAUCUCCUGAUUCAUCAUUUUCAUAUAUUGCACUUGAUAUAACUUUUUCUCUCAGAAUCUCUUGAGACUUUGGUUUUGUUCUCAAUCUUUUUUCACUUUCCUUUAUUUUCUCUAAUAUUUUAUCCUCCUUCUCAUUUUGAAUUCUCUUCUUUAAUGCAUUCUGUUGUAUCAAGAACCCUCUCAUAACCGCUUUACUUGCGUCCCAGAUUACUCUUUUUUCCACAUUGGUGCUCAUAUUUAUCUCAAAAUAGUCUCUCAAGGUUUUUUGGGCCUUCUUAAGCACUUCUUCAUCUCUAAAUAAGGUGUCAUUCAUCCUCCAUCUAAAGGAGCCAGUUGGUGUUAGUUUCAUUUCCAUCUUAACAGCAUUAUGGUCGGAGCAGGUUUUGGGCAGAUUUCCACCUUUCUUGUCUUUGGUGCCAUUCCUCUAGUUACCCAUAUUUGGUCAAUUCUUGUCCAUGUCAUUUUGGCUUCAGAAAAGAAGGUUCCUCUUUAGCCACGGGGUUCCUUGUUCUCCAAAUGUCAACUAAGUCCAAGUUGUCUGUCAUCUCAAAAAAAGUUUUCGGUAGUCUACCAUCCUUAGUGACUACCUGUCUUUGUGCCUUGUCCAUAUGUGUAGAUACCACUCCAUUCAUGUCUCCCUGAUAAUCCUCCAUCUUAAUCACGCAUUUCCUAACUUAAUAUUGCCUUUACAUCUCUUAACAUAUCACGUCUUCUCCAUUUUUGCAAUAUUUCUAAUAUUAUUCCUCACAAAACUUGCAAACCUACAAACGUCGUCUGGUUCUCACAAAUACUUUUCAAAUAAUCCGUAAAUUUACUCCAGUCCUCAGUAAACUUCUGGUCCCGCCAGUUUCGGAUCCUUCCCGUUAGUUUAUCAAGUUCCGCAUAGUCCAUUAAUUUCAUCCUCCAUUCUUCUUUCAUCGGUAAUUCUUCUUGCUUCCAUUUUUGGGCCAAUAGUAUUCUUGCUGCUGUUACUGCAUAUAGAAAAAGCUUACAUUCCUUUCUAUUUAUAUCGUUUACAACAAUACCCAAGAGAAAUGCUUCUGGUUUCUUUAUAAAUGUAUAUUUCAACAUUUUUUUUCAACUCAUUAUAUAUCAUCUCCCAGAAGCAUUUCACCUUUUUACAUUCCCACCACAUGUGAUAAAAUGUUCCCUCUUUUUCCUUACAUUUCCAACAUUUAUUACUGACUUUAUACAUUUUUGCUAACUUCACUGGUGUAAUAUACCAUCUAUACAUCAUUUCAAUCACAUUUUCUUUUAGUGCAUUACAUGCAGUAAAUUUUAAGCCUUCCUUCCAUAAUUUUAUCCAAUCACUCAACUGUAUGUUAUACCCAAAAUCUUUGGCCCAAUGAAUCAUAACCGACUUAACCUCCUCAUCUUUCAAGUGCCAUUCGAGCAGCAAUUUGUACAUUUUGGACAAAAUUUUUAAAUCAUUAUUCAAUAUCUCUUGUUGAAACUUCAAUUCUUUUUCAUAAAAACCUUUUUCUUUAAAGUCUUGUUUAAACAUUUCAUUGACCUGAUAAUAAUGUAACCAAUCAUUAACAUACUCUUUCACUUCUUCAUAGAGCAUGAGGCUCUUAAUCUCAGAGUUGUGGUUCGAGCCCCAUAUUGGGCAAAAGAUUCCUGCCUUGCAGGGGGCUGGACUAGAUGACCCUUUUAAAAUACGCAAAUAAUAAACAAAUUGUUCUUCCGUUCACAAUCUAAUUAACCUAAUUUCAUUGGCUAUUGUAUUUACUAGUUGUUGCCUAUGAAUUCUUACCUAUAUUUUGCCUAUAAGCAGUGUAAACGGUGCUGAACUAGGCUUGCUGGUCUAUAGUGUAUUCUU
Molecule: non-coding RNA, 3714 nt
Organism: Podarcis lilfordi (Lilford's wall lizard)
Lineage: Eukaryota; Metazoa; Chordata; Lepidosauria; Squamata; Lacertidae
Source: the annotation of a GenBank genome assembly